This 31-nucleotide non-coding RNA is filed under the name Mus musculus (house mouse). Lineage: Eukaryota; Metazoa; Chordata; Mammalia; Rodentia; Muridae. The record is from RNAcentral.
UUAUAAGGUGGACCAUGUGGUGAUGGUGAUU